CAUCAAGCUGUUUGUAUAAUUUAGCAAUUUCUUCUUCACACUUUCUUCUUUCAGCAUCAGUAAAAUUUCCUAUAACUCCAAUUGCGGUUGCUGGUUUAUCAUUGGUAAGAGUAAUAUCUUUAUCCACUGUGAAAGCUUCCAAGUUGGCUUUCUCUUUGUCAAACUGUUCAUCAAUAGGCACCGUCUCCCCAUUACGCCAUCUGUUGAGCUCAUUUUCAAGCCACUGAAUAGUGUUCCGCAGGAUCUUAUUUUUUUCUUUUUCUUUUUCAUACUUCUUUUUCCACUGUUCUGCAGUUAACUCCACAUUGACACAAACUGUGUUCUUA
This 326-nucleotide long non-coding RNA is filed under the name Homo sapiens (human). Its description in RNAcentral is "LNC_000432". The record is from RNAcentral. Lineage: Eukaryota; Metazoa; Chordata; Mammalia; Primates; Hominidae.